RNAcentral lists this ribosomal RNA (423 nucleotides) under uncultured bacterium. RNAcentral describes it as "partial 16S ribosomal RNA". It matches the Rfam family "Bacterial small subunit ribosomal RNA", at positions 360 to 775 of the family's 1533-position model. The record is from RNAcentral.
AAUAUGUGACAAUGGGGGAAACCCUGAUCCAGCCAUGCCGCGUGUGUGAAGGAGGUCUUCGGAUUGUAAAGCACUUUAAGUUGGGAGGAAGUGUUGUGGGCUAAUAUCCAUCAAUUUGGACGUUACCGACAGAAUAAGCACCGGCUAACUCUGUGCCAUCAGCAGCGGUAAUACAGAGGGUGCAAGCGUUAAUCGGAAUUACUGGGCGUAAAGCGCGCGUAGGUGGUUGAGUAAGAUGGGUGUGAAAUCCUCGGGCUUAACCUGGGAACUGCUUUCAUAACUGCUGAGCUAGAGUACGGUAGAGGAUAGUGGAAUUUCCUGUGUAGCGGUGAAAUGCGUAGAUAUAGGAAGGAACACCAGUGGCGAAGGCGACUACCUGGACUGAUACUGACACUGAGGUGCGAAAGCGUGGGGAGCAAACAG